GAUGAAGAACGUAGCGAAAUGCGAUAAGUAAUGUGAAUUGCAGAAUUCAGUGAAUCAUCGAAUCUUUGAACGCACCUUGCACCCUUUGGCAUUCCGAAGGGUAUGCUCGUUUGAGUGUCAUUGUACUCUCACACUCUCCGAUCCUAUGGAUUCGGGGAGCGGUGGACUUGGGUGUUGCUGCCUUUCCUUGUGGCUCACCUCAAAUGUGUCAGUGCACCUCUUGGUUGGACAUAGUACGGCGUGAUAAGUGUCUUCGCCGGCACCUCGCAAGAGGGUGGCCGAUCGGGAGCUCUGUGCUUUCAAACCGUCUUCGGACAAUUUCUGACAACUUGACCUCAAAUCAAGUAGGACUACCCGCUGAACUUAAGCAUAUCAAUAAGCGGAGGA
RNAcentral lists this unclassified non-coding RNA (387 nucleotides) under soil metagenome. Its description in RNAcentral is "partial contains 5.8S ribosomal RNA, internal transcribed spacer 2, and large subunit ribosomal RNA". The stretch from base 1 to 120 matches the Rfam family "5.8S ribosomal RNA", at positions 35 to 154 of the family's 154-position model. The record is from RNAcentral.